This 480-nucleotide ribosomal RNA is filed under the name uncultured bacterium. RNAcentral describes it as "SSU rRNA". It matches the Rfam family "Bacterial small subunit ribosomal RNA", at positions 26 to 521 of the family's 1533-position model. The record is from RNAcentral.
AGGAUGAACGCUGGCGGCGUGCUUAACACAUGCAAGUCGAACGAUGAAGCGGAGCUUGCUCUGUGGAUUAGUGGCGAACGGGUGAGUAACACGUGAGUAACCUGCCCUUGACUCUGGGAUAAGCACUGGAAACGGUGUCUAAUACCGGAUACAAGCUUCAGCCGCAUGGCUAGGAGUUGGAAAGAAUUUCGGUCAAGGAUGGACUCGCGGCCUAUCAGGUAGUUGGUGAGGUAAUGGCCCACCAAGCCUACGACGGGUAGCCGGCCUGAGAGGGUGACCGGCCACACUGGGACUGAGACACGGCCCAGACUCCUACGGGAGGCAGCAGUGGGGAAUAUUGCGCAAUGGGCGAAAGCCUGACGCAGCGACGCCGCGUGGGGAUGAAGGCCUUCGGGUUGUAAACCCCUUUCAGCAGGGACGAAGCGAGAGUGACGGUACCUGCAGAGAAGCGCCGGCUAACUACGCGCCAGCAGCCGCGGU